Molecule: ribosomal RNA, 352 nt
Filed under: uncultured bacterium
Lineage: Bacteria
Description: bacterial SSU rRNA
Rfam family: Bacterial small subunit ribosomal RNA
Source: RNAcentral
GGACCCGCACAAGUAGUGGAGCAUGUGGUUUAAUUCGAAGAUACGCGCAGAACCUUACCAACACUUGACAUGUUCGUCGCGACUUUAAGAGAUUAAAGUUUUCGGUUCGGCCGGACGAAACACAGGUGCUGCAUGGCUGUCGUCAGCUCGUGUCGUGAGAUGUUGGUUAAGUCCCGCAACGAGCGCAACCCUCACUUUUAGUUGCCAUCAUUUAGUUGGGCACUCUGAAAGAACUGCCAGUGAUAAGCUGGAGGAAGGUGGGGAUGACGUCAAGUCCUCAUGGCCCUUACGUGUUGGGCUACACACGUGCUACAAUGGACGGUACAGCGGGAAGCCACCACGCAAGUGGGCG